Long non-coding RNA from Oryzias latipes (Japanese medaka), 1424 nucleotides. RefSeq lists it as uncharacterized. Lineage: Eukaryota; Metazoa; Chordata; Actinopteri; Beloniformes; Adrianichthyidae. The record is from RefSeq and is a predicted model, not a curated record.
ACAUAAUCUUGAUAUACACUUUUAAUGUAAACUCAUAGAUCAUACGAAUGACAGAAUGAGCAUUUAUGAAUCGUCUCUGAUUGGGGAAUCUCUCUGUAUUUGUGAGAGAAAUGCAUGUGGUGAACAUUGAGACUCUUCUAGCGUACCAGGUCAACAAAUGCCAUUUUUGCUAAAGAAUCUGCCAAUCAAAUUCACCAGCUAACCACACUCAAAAAACUGAAUUAUCACUGCUGUUGGAUAUAAAUAAUAUUAUUACGUUUGAAUUACUUAAAAUUGUGAGUUUCUCAUAUCAACUUGAAUCAGUUGUGUUGUUUCAACGUAAAAAUGUACGAAGCCAAGUUUACUUGACUCUUUUAGUUUCCCCAACUUAACUCUGUUAUGUUAGCCUAACAUCCCAUGAAUGUUGCGUCAUCAAAUUCAAAGUCAAAGUCACGCGAGACUUUGUGACUCCCGCCACACGUCUUCUCGUUCUAACGGAAGCAGCAGACACUGUGCCAUCUUUCAAAACUAUUUUCCUGAAAGCCACAUAAAAGCGGUAACUGUGCAGUCUUCACACGCAUUACAACAAUCCCACUUCAUGUCUCAUCUGGACCGCUAUUCUGAAAAGAUGCAGUUUUCCACAAGAAAGGAGGCGCAGCUGGAUCCAAAAUAGCCGAAAUUGUAUCUGUGGCUGACCAGAAUAAUUCGAUUGCAAAAAGAAGUGGCAUCCCCCAAGCCCUUGAAGCAUAUCUUAAUGAGCACCCUGCCAAGCUAGUUUAUGAGUAUAAAAGCGAGAACCCUGACGAAACAAGUGCGAAACUGGAACAGAUCAUGAUGGGAAUCUAUGUGAUCAAACAUCCAGGUGAAGAUGCUGCUCAGUAACCAGAGGACUUUGGGAUCAACGUUGAAGGUGUUAAAGUUCUUCAUGAACUCAAAGAUUGCCAGUGCUCAUGCACUACCGUUUGGCCUCGUGCAUGACCUUAACCUGAGCUACCCUCCUGACCUCAAGUACACUUUUGAAAAUAUUCAAAAGGUCCUUAUGGAGCUGGAGUCACAUCAGCUUUUUCAUCUAAAGUCCAGAUGUUGAAGAAUAAGCUGCUGAACUAAUGUCCUACACACACAGUUUUUGUUACCCGGGACAUUGUUCAUUGUGGUUGGAGAUUUUGGCAUUUUCCUAAAACCUUUUAUGUUGCUUUCUGCUGAUUGGCUAUACCUGUUAACUUUUUUAUAAAUAGUUUUUUUAUGGAAAAGCCUGUUUUGAUGAUGUUGUGGUCAAACUCUAGAAGGUGCUGUUAAGACUAAUUUCAUUGCUGUUACACCCAUUGUUCAUUGUGCAUGAACAUUUGGGCAUUUUCUCGCUGGACCAGUUGACUGUUUUGCAAACUGUUUUUUAAGGAAAAGACUAUUUUGCUUGUUGGCUGUCUAAAUAAAAGGGAUAUUAUGAC